UUCUCGAUCAGAAACCAUUUAGAAGUCCACAACAAAUAGCUGAAGAUUUACAGAGAAAAUUACAUGAAUGUUCAAUUCGAAGAAAUGCCCACAUCAAUUCUAUUAUACAGAGAAGUCGACUACAGAUUGAAAAAGUAACUAAAGCAAAAGCGAAAUUAGCGUCAAAAAGAGUUGAAAAUGCUAAAACGACAGAAACUGAUAUUCAGGAAAAAACAGAAUGCGCCAAGAAAAGUAGAGAAAAAUUCAUUAACGAUAGAGUAGAAAAAUUCAGGAAACAGGUUCAGCAUGCAGAGGAAAUCAAGGGUAAAAAAUUGGUAGGUGUAGAAAAUAAUUUUUCAAAUACUUUUGUUCGUUAAGCAUCAUUGGAACAAGAAAUGAUGGUUGAACUGAAAAAUUAAGUCAAAAAUAAAACACUUGUUUUCUAUUAUUAUUAGAAAGUGUUCAGUAAAAUCUCAAAACCGAACAAUACAUCGACUCCCAUCUUACGUUUCCCUACUAAUCCAUGAUUUCCCAACAGUCAUCAUAAUUAUAAAUAAAAUAGCAAUAAUAACUAUUCAAUUUUCAGGCCAACAACGUGUCAAAGUAAAAAAUCGAAAAGAUGACCCAAUUUAUCGGACGAUCAAGCGUAAUUAAUUAAAUUUGUUUCUAUUAAAAUUACAAAUAUUUUUAAUAACUUCUUUUAAGGAUUUUAAUUGCUGGUAUUUUUAAAUAAAAAUUUUAGUACAUUAUUUAGGUAAUUAUAAUUAUGAAAAAAAGUAACACACUACAUAAUAUUUUAAACAUUGUUUUUUUUCUUCGUUUAUAAAAACAAAAUAUGCGUAAUGCAGCUGUACAAUGUAUUGCUUUUAUUUUUACAAAAAAAAAAAUCAAACAAAUUCAAUAAGUAGGUAUGUAAAAUAAAAGUUAGAAUGUUGAAUGGCACUUCGUUUCUAGUAGCCUAUUUCUUUAGCUGGGUUUUUCACGAUAACAGUACAGUUGGGAACAUAUUUUACGGAGCCAAUAUCAAUAUUUCACAUUGAUUAGAUAUACAAGUCUCAAUAUACCACGUACGUGGUUUUUUAAACAUACCUUAACAAAUUAAGCAUUACAAAAUACAUCUACGCUAACAUUACAUACAUCUUACAAUUAUUACACAAAGUUACAAAAUGUUUAAUGAAACUUCACCCUUAAAACCCUUUUAUAAUAUCACUUUGUAUUUCAAUAAAAUGCAAACACUAUACAAAUACAAAUAAUACGAUGACGGUUUCUUCCCCCUUCCAAACGGUAUUUUAUUCGCCAAUAAUAAUUACCGCUGUCACUAAUAUUUGUACGAUAACAUUUAAAUUACCUACCAACUGUUUUCAGCUGGUAUUUAGAAAUUUCCAAAUUCACUAAAUCUCUCAUAUGUGCGAUUCUCUUUUAAAAUCAGUCUUAGGGAGCUCAAAUUUCAUAUGUUCGGCCGGGUACGCAGGCCGAUAAGUAAAUAGGUACCAAAAUGUUCUCACAUGUAAGUAGUGGUACGCAAUGUGGAAUAAACAAAGAAAAAGUGAUGAAAAUUUCGAAUAUUGUACUUUCGUUAACUCUCUCAUACCUAUGACUAGCGACGUCUACGAACGCGCGAAAAUAGUAUAACAAGGUAUACAAAAUAAAUAUUUAGAAUAAUAAACAAAUAUGGAAAAAAACGUGGUACACAAGUAACAAGAAAGAUACAUAAAUUGAAACAUAAAUUAAUCGAUUUUAACGGUAGCGUAAAUCUUCUGUACAAAAAUCGACGAUCCCAUAUAACCUAAAGUACCACACAUGAUACCUAACGCUAAACUAAAUAAAGCCAUAUACUCGAAGUAGAAAGCCGUUUGAAACAACCCGUACAU
Planococcus citri (citrus mealybug) is the source of this 1850-nucleotide long non-coding RNA. RefSeq lists it as uncharacterized. The record is from RefSeq and is a predicted model, not a curated record. The transcript is spliced from 3 exons. Lineage: Eukaryota; Metazoa; Arthropoda; Insecta; Hemiptera; Pseudococcidae.